AAACACUGCUGUGCUUGGCUCUGAACGUCCCGAAGGCUUGCUUGUGCCAUGUGGUUUGGUCCUCAGCAACUGACAAUGCUGGAAGGUGAGGGAAGCUUUAGGAGCUGGGGUUUAUAGGGAAGUGUGGGUGGGUCUUAGAUCGUUGGGGAUGUGCCCUUGAAAAGGAUUAUAGGGCACUAAUAUCUCUCCCCUCCCCCUUCCCACAUGCAGUUUCCUCUGCAUCUUGUUCCUGCCACGAUGGGCUACAUCAUCACAGACCCAAAGCAACACACCCAACCGAGAUCCAAUCCCAUGCUACAGAGUAACAUCAGCACAGAAAGGUGCUCGUCUCUGGCAAGCAAAUCUCAUUUUGACUAGAGAUAGGUGUUGGGAUUCAACCUCCAAAGCAGCUAGAACCCUCUUUACUUUUAAAUUGAUUGUCACGAGCAUCUGGUCACAGUCUCCAAAAGCUGAGCAAUGCAACAAAGGUCCUUUAAUAGGCAACUGGUGGGGUUGGGGAUUUAGCUCAGUGGUAGAGCGCUUGCCUAGGAAGCACAAGACCCUGGGUUUGGUCCCCAGCUCUG
Molecule: long non-coding RNA, 563 nt
Filed under: Rattus norvegicus (Norway rat)
Lineage: Eukaryota; Metazoa; Chordata; Mammalia; Rodentia; Muridae
Description: long non-coding RNA NONRATT019489
Rfam family: tRNA (bases 495-563)
Source: RNAcentral